RNAcentral lists this ribosomal RNA (428 nucleotides) under uncultured bacterium. RNAcentral describes it as "partial 16S ribosomal RNA". It matches the Rfam family "Bacterial small subunit ribosomal RNA", at positions 354 to 796 of the family's 1533-position model. The record is from RNAcentral.
GUAGGGAAUAUUGCGCAAUGGGGGAAACCCUGACGCAGCGACGCCGCGUGAGUGAUGAAGGCCUUCGGGUCGUAAAGCUCUGUUGCAGGGGAAUAAAAAAAUGAAGGUACCCUGUGAGGAAGGAUCGGCUAACUCCGUGCCAGCAGCCGCGGUAAGACGAGGGAUCCUAGCGUUGCUCGGAAUCAUUGGGCGUAAAGAGGGCGUAGGUGGCUUGGUAAGUCAGGUGUGAAAGCCCAGGGCUCAACCCUGGGAGUGCAUUUGAUACUGCUGAGCUUGAGUGUAGGAGAGGUUACCGGAAUACCUGGUGUAGUGGUGAAAUACGUAGAUAUCAGGUGGAACACCGGAGGCGAAGGCGGGUAACUGGACGAACACUGACACUGAGGCCCGAAAGCGUGGGGAUCAAACAGGAUUAGAAACCCUUGUAGUCC